GCCUUUUCAAAUGUAAAGGGUGAUAUAUAAGAAGAGCUCAAACACUUAUCAAGCGUUGCUAUAGGAUUAAUUACGCACGAGUGGAAUAUGAUGUUCACCAUGAUUUAUAUAGCAAUAAAGAGCAUGUUGUAAAGUAUUUACACGUAAAUGCAGUAUUUAAAUAAUUGAAAUACAGUUACAGAAAAGAAAACAAAGAGGCAAGUCAGUUUCAGGAAUAAAAGAAUCAUAAAUGCUUUAAAAUAGACAGUUAAAUUGAAAUAAUGGGAAAGGGUACAUGGGAUAGAGCAUGCUUGGACUAAUUCAAAAAAGAUAAGUUCGUUAUGGCAAUAGCCUAAAAAUAUCCCCAGUAGUGUCUCC
Molecule: long non-coding RNA, 357 nt
Filed under: Nicotiana benthamiana
Lineage: Eukaryota; Viridiplantae; Streptophyta; Magnoliopsida; Solanales; Solanaceae
Description: long non-coding RNA (NBEN_LNC016995)
Source: RNAcentral